RNAcentral lists this long non-coding RNA (747 nucleotides) under Homo sapiens (human). RNAcentral's name for it is "HSALNT0310972". The record is from RNAcentral. Lineage: Eukaryota; Metazoa; Chordata; Mammalia; Primates; Hominidae.
CUGGGUGAAGGGCCAAGGUAGAGAUCAAGGCUGAAUUUGUAAAGUCAUAAUGGAGGAAUUUAAAAGGUGAGAAGCCUGAUAAUCAAGGGUGUGGGACAUGUAGGCAGUAUGAGAAGGGGUUGAUGGAAGCUUACUGACUGGUCAAGGCAGUGCAAGAAGUUUAACCUGUCUGGAAAUAUGGGGACAAGAACUGGAAAGGGCAGUCUGUGCAUGAAGAUUCCAGGAGAAGCCUGAUGAUGGAAAACCUUAAAAUCACAUCGAGUACAGAUGGGGUUUCACCAUGUUCGCCAGGAUGGUCUCGAUCUCCUGACCUCGUGAUCUGUCCACCUCUGCCUCCCAAAGUGCUGAGAUUACAGGUGUGAGCCACCACUCCCAGCCUUUGUCAUCAUUUCAGAUAGGGUGAAGGAAUGGUUUAAGUCGCCUCCAAGGCCAUGGAAGUUGAACCACUUUCAGACUAUGUCCUUGGCUUAUGGGGAGAUUUUUCUAAUCUCAGUUCAUUGGUACUUUCAAAGUUACUUCCGGAUUACAGUGCAUUCACUCCUGUCCUAUGAAGGUGUCCAGGUUAUUGGAUAAAACAAAAGUGUUAUGAUUUUAUAAAAGGAGACACAAGAGUAGAAGGACAAAGCUGACUCUUUCAUAGGAGAACUGGAAAAUAUGUAAAAUGGAAGGAAGACUGAUAUAACCCUAGAUUUAGUUAUUAUUUCAUCUGUCUACAUGGUAAUGCAAUAAAAAAUUGUGUCAACCCCA